This 536-nucleotide ribosomal RNA is filed under the name Aspergillus versicolor. RNAcentral describes it as "eukaryotic LSU rRNA". The stretch from base 155 to 308 matches the Rfam family "5.8S ribosomal RNA". Lineage: Eukaryota; Fungi; Ascomycota; Eurotiomycetes; Eurotiales; Aspergillaceae. The record is from RNAcentral.
UUUUAGUGCGGGCUGCUCGGGCGCCAACCUCCCACCCGUGACUACCUAACACUGUUGCUUCGGCGGGGAGCCCUCUCGGGGGCGAGCCGCCGGGGACUACUGAACUUCAUGCCUGAGAGUGAUGCAGUCUGAGUCUGAAUAUAAAAUCAGUCAAAACUUUCAACAAUGGAUCUCUUGGUUCCGGCAUCGAUGAAGAACGCAGCGAACUGCGAUAAGUAAUGUGAAUUGCAGAAUUCAGUGAAUCAUCGAGUCUUUGAACGCACAUUGCGCCCCCUGGCAUUCCGGGGGGCAUGCCUGUCCGAGCGUCAUUGCUGCCCAUCAAGCCCGGCUUGUGUGUUGGGUCGUCGUCCCCCCCGGGGGACGGGCCCGAAAGGCAGCGGCGGCACCGUGUCCGGUCCUCGAGCGUAUGGGGCUUUGUCACCCGCUCGAUUAGGGCCGGCCGGGCGCCAGCCGACGUCUCCAACCAUUUUCUUCAGGUUGACCUCGGAUCAGGUAGGGAUACCCGCUGAACUUAAGCAUAUCAAUAAGCGGAGGAA